Molecule: ribosomal RNA, 484 nt
Filed under: uncultured bacterium
Lineage: Bacteria
Description: partial 16S ribosomal RNA
Rfam family: Bacterial small subunit ribosomal RNA
Source: RNAcentral
AUUGAACGCUGGCGGCAGGCCUAACACAUGCAAGUCGAGCGGAUGAAGGGAGCUUGCUCCUGGAUUCAGCGGCGGACGGGUGAGUAAUGCCUAGGAAUCUGCCUGGUAGUGGGGGAUAACGUCCGGAAACGGGCGCUAAUACCGCAUACGUCCUGAGGGAGAAAGUGGGGGAUCUUCGGACCUCACGCUAUCAGCUGAGCCUAGGUCGGAUUAGCUAGUUGGUGGGGUAAAGGCCUACCAAGGCGACGAUCCGUAACUGGUCUGAGAGGAUGAUCAGUCACACUGGAACUGAGACACGGUCCAGACUCCUACGGGAGGCAGCAGUGGGGAAUAUUGGACAAUGGGCGAAAGCCUGAUCCAGCCAUGCCGCGUGUGUGAAGAAGGUCUUCGGAUUGUAAAGCACUUUAAGUUGGGAGGAAGGGAAGUAAGUGAAUACCUGGCUGUCUUGACGUUACCAACAGAAUAAGCACCGGCUAACUUCGUG